GUAGCCCAUCGAGCGAUCGCUAGAUUUUUCUAGAGGAAAGUCCGGGCAGCAUAGGGCGCGACAGUUGUUAACGGCAACCGGGGGAGACCCUAGGGAAAGUGCCACAGAAACGAUACCGCCUAUCUUACGAUAGGUAAGGGUGAAAGGAGUGAGGUAAGAGCUCACAGUCUAUCAUGGUGACAUGAUAUGAGAGGUAAACCCUGUCGGCUGCAAGGAGAGUCAUCUGUUUAACAGUUGGUAGCCCGCCAAGACUCGAUAACCGCUAGAUUUUAUAGGUAACUAUAAGACUAGAUAGAUGAUCGUUCUAGACAGAACCCGGCUUACAGAUGGGCUAUUUAU
This 339-nucleotide RNase P RNA is filed under the name Streptococcus suis. RNAcentral's name for it is "RNase P RNA component class A". It matches the Rfam family "Bacterial RNase P class A". Rfam says of the family: Ribonuclease P (RNase P) is a ubiquitous endoribonuclease, found in archaea, bacteria and eukarya as well as chloroplasts and mitochondria. The record is from RNAcentral. RNAcentral also lists the same sequence under 2 other names. Lineage: Bacteria; Bacillati; Bacillota; Bacilli; Lactobacillales; Streptococcaceae.